UCUCGGUGAUGAUUUCAUAGAUGACGAGUCUGAUUUAAUCCAUUCCAUUCAAUCAUGAAGACGAAUCGAGGCAUUUGUCUGAGAGAU
Molecule: small nucleolar RNA, 87 nt
Organism: Cynara cardunculus var. scolymus (artichoke)
Lineage: Eukaryota; Viridiplantae; Streptophyta; Magnoliopsida; Asterales; Asteraceae
Source: RefSeq, a predicted model, not a curated record